AGGGUGUAAACGCUGCAGACUUGGUGUUGGAAAUCCUUCGAGGGUAUUCAGUGCCGGAGAGAAGUUGUUAAGUCUGCUACUUGGGGAGUACGUCCGCAAGGAUGAAACUUAAAGGAAUUGGCGGGGGAGCACCGCAACGGGAGGAGCGUGCGGUUUAAUUGGACUCAACGCCGGAAGCUCACCGGAUAGGACAGCAGAAUGAUUGCCGGGCUGAAGACCCUGCAUGACUAGCUGAGAGGAGGUGCAUGGCGUAGACGUCU
RNAcentral lists this ribosomal RNA (260 nucleotides) under uncultured archaeon. RNAcentral describes it as "partial 16S ribosomal RNA". It matches the Rfam family "Archaeal small subunit ribosomal RNA", at positions 748 to 1009 of the family's 1478-position model. The record is from RNAcentral.